This is a long non-coding RNA of Salvelinus namaycush (lake trout), 358 nucleotides long. RefSeq lists it as uncharacterized. Lineage: Eukaryota; Metazoa; Chordata; Actinopteri; Salmoniformes; Salmonidae. The transcript has 3 exons. The record is from RefSeq and is a predicted model, not a curated record.
CACAGCAAUGAUGAUGAAGAUAUCUUCCCACAGCCCAAACAGACCACCACCACCGUCUCACCAGCAAAGAAGAAGAAGGAACCAGAGAGUAUAUUCUCCUCCUCCAAAUCAGCCUGCUCCUCUGAAAAGAGCAAUGACAGUGACGAUCUGAAGUUGGACAGUGACGAGGAAGACAAGGCCUUCUCAUACUCCAGCAGCUCUGCCUUCGACAAACCUGUCCCAGCUAAGAAAGUGAAGAAGCCUUCGGAUGCAGCUCCCAAACCCAGGAAAGCACCAGUACCCAAAGAGCCACCAAAACAGAAGUUGGACACGUCCGUUUGGGACUCCGACUCAGAUACCGGCUCCAAGAAGCCUGCAA